CAAAAACAUAUAUUUUUCAUGUUUUGACAACUGAUGUAUGUAAUAAUGUUUAAACAUUUUGAUUGACAUGCGAAUGAAUAAUAUAUACCAUAUACGUCUUGCUUAUGUGUAAUUUUGAUAUUACAACAAAUGCAUAAAAUAAUGCAAUAAUCCUUAUGGAAACGAUAUAUGCCAAUGCUUAGGCUCCGUCAACGCAAGACGAAAAACCAUAUAAUAGGAUUUUGAAUUAUUUGAAUAUUGGUACGUAUUAUUAGUAUAAAGAAUGGAAAUGUGGAAUGUGUCCGAGAGAUAACAACCCGAAAUCUACAAAAUUCAACUCAAGCAUAGGUAAACUCUUUAGAGUACCAGUUAGGAUUUGGUACAGAAAUAUGUUGGUCAUUUCUUAUUGUGAAAGUAAUGUAUUUUAAAUGUAACUUGUAAUAUAGUUAUUAUUAGGC
Molecule: long non-coding RNA, 437 nt
Filed under: Mytilus galloprovincialis (Mediterranean mussel)
Lineage: Eukaryota; Metazoa; Mollusca; Bivalvia; Mytilida; Mytilidae
Source: RNAcentral